RNAcentral lists this ribosomal RNA (240 nucleotides) under uncultured Glomus. RNAcentral's name for it is "partial 18S ribosomal RNA". It matches the Rfam family "Eukaryotic small subunit ribosomal RNA", at positions 569 to 814 of the family's 1831-position model. Lineage: Eukaryota; Fungi; Glomeromycota; Glomeromycetes; Glomerales; Glomeraceae. The record is from RNAcentral.
AGCAGCCGCGGUAAUUCCAGCUCCAAUAGCGUAUAUUAAAGUUGUUAGCAGUUAAAAAGCUCGUAGUUGAAUUUCGGGGUUAGCAGGUCGGUCGUGCCAAUGGUAUGCACUGGCUCGCUGACUCCUCCUUCUUGUAGAACCGUAAUGCCAUUAAUUUGGUGUUGCGGGGAAACAGGACUGUUACUUUGAAAAAAUUAGAGUGUUUAAAGCAGGCUAGCGCCUGAAUACAUUAGCAUGGAA